CCUACGGGUGGCAGCAGUGAGGAAUAUUGGUCAAUGGGCGAGAGCCUGAACCAGCCAAGUCGCGUGAGGGAGUACUGCCCUAUGGGUUGUAAACCUCUUUUGUCGGGGAGCAAAAGCCGGACGUGUCCGGCUGUGAGAGUACCCGAAGAAAAAGCAUCGGCUAACUCCGUGCCAGCAGCCGCGGUAAUACGGAGGAUGCGAGCGUUAUCCGGAUUUAUUGGGUUUAAAGGGUGCGCAGGCGGAUUUUUAAGUCAGCGGUCAAAUCGUGGGGCUCAACCCCAUCCAGCCGUUGAAACUGGACGCCUUGAGUUCACAACAGGCAGGCGGAAUUCGUGGUGUAGCGGUGAAAUGCAUAGAUAUCACGAGGAACCCCGAUUGCGAAGGCAGCCUGCCGGGGUGCGACUGACGCUGAGGCUCGAAGGUGCGGGUAUCAAACAGGAUUAGAUACCCGUGUAGUC
RNAcentral lists this ribosomal RNA (458 nucleotides) under uncultured bacterium. RNAcentral describes it as "partial 16S ribosomal RNA". It matches the Rfam family "Bacterial small subunit ribosomal RNA", at positions 338 to 795 of the family's 1533-position model. The record is from RNAcentral.